RNA transcript from Beta vulgaris subsp. vulgaris (sugar beet), 2655 nucleotides. It is a transcript of the gene named sucrose transport protein SUC4, with no coding region annotated. The record is from RefSeq and is a predicted model, not a curated record. Lineage: Eukaryota; Viridiplantae; Streptophyta; Magnoliopsida; Caryophyllales; Amaranthaceae. The transcript is spliced from 6 exons.
AAUAUUCAUUUCAUGAUUUUCAUCCUCCCGAGAUUCACUCAAACUCAAGCGACAGCCAUUUUCCACUUUCCAGCAAAACCGCACCCAUUCCCUUCAUUCACAAUUCACAAAACACAACCAAAAAAAAAACUUAUUCCCUUCUCCCCCACAACUAAAAAAAAAAAAAAAAAAAAAAAUUUAGUUGAACCUCUACGCCACCUUCAAAAUUCUUUGCCACCUUUUUCUCUCUCUUCACUCUCCCACUCCACAUUCCAAAAACCCAAAAAAAAAAAAUAUGACAGGCCAGGACCAAAAUAAAACAGAGAUCACCAGAGAAACAAUUACAAAACCCCGACGACAAACCCACUCAAGCCGUCAACCUCGUCCCACAACCCGACCACCACCACCUCGUCCUCCACAACCUCCUCCAACCCGGCCCGCCCGAGUCCCACUAAAAAAGCUCUUAAAAGUAACAUCCGUUGCAGGUGGCAUACAAUUCGGUUGGGCCUUACAACUCUCUCUCCUAACUCCUUACGUUCAAGAGUUAGGCAUCCCUCAUGCUUUUGCUAGUAUCAUUUGGCUUUGUGGUCCUGUCUCUGGUUUCAUCGUCCAGCCUUUAGUCGGCCAUAUUAGUGACCGCUCUACUAGUCGCUAUGGCCGUCGUCGCCCUUUUAUUCUUGCUGGUGCUGCCAUGAUCAUUGCUGCUGUUUCAAUUGUUGGAUUCUCCGCUGAUAUUGGGUUUUUGAUGGGGGAUAAAGUUGAUGGAGGAGAGAGAAAACGACCGAUGGCGAUUGUUGUUUUUGUUAUUGGCUUUUGGUUGCUUGAUGUUGCUAAUAAUACUACUCAAGGUCCUUGUAGAGCUUUGCUUGCUGAUCUUACUGGCAAGGAUCAUAGAAGGAACAGAGUAGCAAAUGCAUACUACUCUUUGUAUAUGGCUAUUGGCAACAUCCUUGGCUUUGCCACAGGAUCAUACACUAGCUGGUACACUAUUCUUCCAUUCACUCGCACUCAUGCUUGCAGUGAAAGUUGUGCCAAUCUCAAGUCAGCUUUCCUCAUCGACAUUAUAUUUAUAGUAAUAACAACGUAUAUAAGUAUCACAGCUGCUCAUGAAGUUCCUUUGAAUACCGAGGAUGGAGGCACUGGCAUAUCAGAAGGAUCUCAGCCAUCUGGCCAUGCUGAGGAAGCCUUCUUUUGGGAACUAUUUGGAACUUUUAGAUAUCUACCUGGACCUGUUUGGAUUAUCCUUUCGGUUACUGCACUGACUUGGAUUGGGUGGUUUCCAUUCCUACUCUUUGACACUGACUGGAUGGGUCGGGAAGUUUAUGGUGGUGAUCCAGAUGAAGGGCAAAUCUACCAUAGAGGAGUCAGUACAGGUGCUCUUGGCCUGAUGUCGCAAUCAGUUGUUCUGGGUAUAACUUCAUUGUUGAUGGAGAAGCUCUGCAAGAAGUUGGGUUCUGGGAUUUUGUGGGGCAUCUCAAACAUUAUUAUGUCUUUGUGUUUUGUUGCAAUGCUUGUCAUCGCUUUUGUACUGAGCAAGGCAGACUCCUUUGGUUCCGGGAGUCCUCCUAAUGGUGCUGUUAUUGCUGCAGUGAUUGUUUUCACGAUUCUCGGUAUGCCAUUGGCGGUUACUUAUAGCAUCCCAUAUGCACUGAUUUCCUCCAGGAUUGAGUCACUGGGGCUAGGCCAAGGCUUAUCAAUGGGUGUGUUAAAUCUUGCAAUUGUGCUUCCCCAGGGAAGACAACAUUGACCUUGGAUGAGAUGCCUUUCAUAAGUCGAAAAGUUGAUGAAGCAAGGAGGAGGAUCAUCAAGUCAAAAGGGAGCCUUUAGUGUGUCGGCGUGUGGUAAAUGGGGUAAGAAAGUGUGUAUUUCUGAUGUGACCUCUCACUAUUGUGAUAAAAAGGGGCACUUCCAAUCGCAACGCCCAAAGGCAAAGAUGGAUUUGAAGAAGCUCAGGGAGUGAAAGGGAAUGACGACCAUGGUUUGAGGGGGAGAUACAUUUGACGAGGAAUAUCCACAUGACGCUCCGUUGGUUGCAAGUAUUGUAGAACCAACAAGCGAAUGAGUUUUAGAUUUGAGAUGCUUGUUUCAUAUUUGCCACAAGGAGCAUGACUGUUUUUUAGAAGGUGUGAAAAAGAAGCGAUCAAUCUACUUGAUGGGGAUAGAGUGAAGGAUGACGGGAUAGGUGAGAUCGUGCUCGAGCCUCAUGGUCAUUGUAGACAUCUUACGCAAGUAAGAUACAUCCUACUCGUAAAUAAUAACAUGAUUUCUCUAGAAAAACUUCACGAUGGAUGCACUAUCAAGAGACAUUAAGGAGCUAUUUUAGUUAUAGAGUGCUGGGAGACAAUCAUGAAAGCAACACGGAAUACGAAAAGCGUCUUCGUAGUUGAAGCAUGUGUCAAGCACGGAGAGGUCUUGGUUUGAGGGGAGGCAUCGUCACCCCACCAACGACGUGAAGCUCUUGAUCGUUGAUCGAAGAGGUUGGCCGUGUUUGAGCUUGAUGGGAGGUUCUUUGUUAUGCAAGUCCAAUAGUCCAAUAUGGUGAUUGUGUCCUUGGGAAGCGGGCCAUGGGAUCAAUUGUUUGGUGGGGGAAACUCACCAUCUAUAGCUGUAGCAGGAGUCGCGUCUUUUGCUAGUGGACUCAUGGCCAUCUUGGCUCUUCCUCGAUCUAGAACUGAU